UUUUUGUUGAAUGUUUAAGUAGCUACCCUAAGGAGUUAAGGAUGAUUCAAAUGAGUUAAACACAAUUUGACGCAUUAUUGACCAAACACUUUGUCAACAAACCUUGUGGGUGGUGCAUCGAAUAAUCAGUCAGAUUCAGUUGGAUAGAUGUUCCACGUUACAACCAAAACAGCAUCAUGAUCUUCAUCUCAGAGACUCGUUGUCAUGUUCAGUCCAUGACAAUCAUCUGAUUGUCUUCACAAAGACACCAGUGUUGAGGUCUUGGUCUGCAGUGGAGUGAGGAAAGAUGAGUCUCUCACAGAAACACAGUGUACGAUCAGGUUCGUGUGUAUCCAGCUCUGUGUCUGUGAAGAGUGAUAAUUCAAAACAAGGACGUCACCCAAAUUUCAGUAGAGAUACUCUGUCACCUACCACAAGUGUACGAUCAGGUUCGUGUGUAUCCAGCUCUGUGUCUGUGAAGAGUGAUAAUUCAAAACAAGGACGUCACCCAAAUUUCAGUAGAGAUACUCUGUCACCUACCACAAGGUA
Long non-coding RNA from Danio aesculapii, 528 nucleotides. RefSeq lists it as uncharacterized. The transcript has 4 exons. NCBI's taxonomy places the organism in Eukaryota, Metazoa, Chordata, Actinopteri, Cypriniformes, Danionidae. The record is from RefSeq and is a predicted model, not a curated record.